This 743-nucleotide ribosomal RNA is filed under the name uncultured bacterium. Its description in RNAcentral is "bacterial SSU rRNA". It matches the Rfam family "Bacterial small subunit ribosomal RNA", at positions 94 to 823 of the family's 1533-position model. The record is from RNAcentral.
AGCGGCGGAUGGGUGAGUAACACGUGGGGAACCUGCCCCUAAGUCUGGGAUACCAUUUGGAAACAGGUGCUAAUACCGGAUAAUAAAGCAGAUCGCAUGAUCAGCUUUUGAAAGGCGGCGUAAGCUGUCGCUAAGGGAUGGCCCCGCGGUGCAUUAGCUAGUUGGUAAGGUAACGGCUUACCAAGGCGACGAUGCAUAGCCGAGUUGAGAGACUGAUCGGCCACAUUGGGACUGAGACACGGCCCAAACUCCUACGGGAGGCAGCAGUAGGGAAUCUUCCACAAUGGACGCAAGUCUGAUGGGGCAACGCCGCGUGAGUGAAGAAGGUUUUCGGAUCGUAAAGCUCUGUUGUUGGUGAAGAAGGAUAGAGGUAGUAACUAGCCUUUAUUUGACGGUAAUCAACCAGAAAGUCACGGCUAACUACGUGCCAGCAGCCGCGGUAAUACGUAGGUGGCAAGCGUUGUCCGGAUUUAUUGGGCGUAAAGCGAGCGCAGGCGGAAAAAUAAGUCUAAUGUGAAAGCCCUCGGCUUAACCGAGGAACUGCAUCGGAAACUGUUUUUCUUGAGUGCGGAAGAGGAGAGUGGAACUCCAUGUGUAGCGGUGGAAUGCGUAGAUAUAUGGAAGAACACCAGUGGCGAAGGCGGCUCUCUGGUCUGCAACUGACGCUGAGGCUCGAAAGCAUGGGUAGCGAACAGGAUUAGAUACCCUGGUAGUCCAUGCCGUAAACGAUGAGUGCUAAGUGU